RNAcentral lists this ribosomal RNA (329 nucleotides) under uncultured eukaryote. Its description in RNAcentral is "partial 18S ribosomal RNA". It matches the Rfam family "Eukaryotic small subunit ribosomal RNA", at positions 1470 to 1796 of the family's 1831-position model. The record is from RNAcentral.
CCCUUAGAUGUUCUGGGCCGCACGCGCGCUACACUGACGAUGGCAACGAGUUUUUCCUUCGCCGAAAGGUGUGGGUAAUCUUUUGAAACAUCGUCGUGCUGGGGAUAGGUCAUUGCAAUUUUUGAUCUUGAACGAGGAAUUCCUAGUAAGCGCGAGUCAUCAGCUCGCGUUGAUUACGUCCCUGCCCUUUGUACACACCGCCCGUCGCUACUACCGAUUGAAUGGUUUAGUGAGGACUCCUGAUUGGCGCCGCCGCCCCGGCAACGGAGCAGCGGACUGCCGAAAAGUUGUUCAAACUUGAUCAUUUAGAGGAAGUAAAAGUCGUAACA